ACUUUGAAAUUAGUCCCAACAGGAGUGUAUCUACAAGCUGAGGGCCAUUUUGUAGUUAUGAGUACAAGGAAAUUAUUUACAGUACUGUCAUUUUCUCUCUACUGAACUAAUUUGAUGCGAAAAUAAAAUGUGAUUCACUCAUUACAACUUUUAAAUAUUUAUCAUUAUGUAGAUUCUGCAUAGACAUUCGCCUAUAGCAUCUACAGUGUUCAUUAGCCAGCCACACUUAGUCCUAGGUUCAGCGUCGGAUGCAAGGGUCCUACAUAAUGCCUUGACGCGAAAUUAUGAUCCUCUGAUUGUGCCCCAUGGAAAAUACUUUAUCGUCGAUGUAGGUUACGCUCAUUCACCAAGGUUCAUGGCCCCUUAUCGUGGAGUUCGAUACCAUCUGCAAGAGUAUUGUACUGGGAGUGGUCCCAUGAAUAUGAAAAAAAUAUUUAACUAUGACAUGCACAAUUGCGUAAUGCAAUUGAGCGAUGCUUCAGUGUGAUGAAGGAGAGAUUUUCAAUUUUAAAGACGGUUAUGCAAUAUCCUUUUGAUACACAAGUUAAAAUUGUUGUUACUUGUUGUGUGCUACAUAAUUUCAUAUGAAAAGAAGAUGGAUCGGACCAAGAUUUGCAUGAUAUUGGUGUACCUGUGGGUGACGUUGAGGCUAAUCCUACCCCAAAUGAGGUAUCAUUAGUUGAUGAAAGGCAAUGGCUAGAUCAAGUCACUCAAUGAGAGAAAGAUGCGUGUAUCAGAACUCGUGUAGGAUUGCAGAGCGCAUGUGGGCAGACGCCGAAAACAAUAGUAGGAUUCAAUAGGCCUACUCAGUUUCUUAAGUACUUUGACAGUUGAUGGCAAACAUAAUGGAUAUGUCAAUUUAUGUAUAAGUUCUAUAUGUUACUAUUUGGUAUUUGUAUUCAUUUUUGAUAAAUUAUCAUGAAACAUUAACUACUAUUUAUUUCACUUGUGGAGCCUUCCUCUCGUGCCACCAAUA
Magnolia sinica is the source of this 976-nucleotide long non-coding RNA. RefSeq lists it as uncharacterized. Lineage: Eukaryota; Viridiplantae; Streptophyta; Magnoliopsida; Magnoliales; Magnoliaceae. The record is from RefSeq and is a predicted model, not a curated record. The transcript is spliced from 3 exons.